This 24553-nucleotide long non-coding RNA is filed under the name Gossypium raimondii (Peruvian cotton). Its description in RNAcentral is "long non-coding RNA (GRAI_LNC005055)". Lineage: Eukaryota; Viridiplantae; Streptophyta; Magnoliopsida; Malvales; Malvaceae. The record is from RNAcentral.
CAUCACCGUACCAAAAAUUUAAAGCAUUUAACCUCAGUUUGACUGCAUUGGAGGUGCAAGAUCACACACUGGUUUAUCUUUUUGCUUCACCCGAUGUACAUCCCAUGUGAUGCAAAAAACUGAAAAUCUGGGUGGUAUACCUGAAGCUGUUUUAGCCAGUUGUCCGUGGCUUGUAUAAGGGAAUUUGCAUGUUGACACUCACUGACACCAUUUUGUGUCCAUAUGGAUCCUUUCAACUUAUAACACCCCAUUCUAAAAACAGGUAACGAAAUCUUUAGGAUGCCAUUAGCAUCGUCACGAUAUACUAAAAAUGGUGUUUGGCCAUUUCCAUUACCUACAAUGCCAAAUAAGGGUCAAGUUAAGAAGUUUGAUGGAAAUCUAUUGUGGGAAAAAGCACACCAAAACAUGUUGUAAGAUGCAUUAGUUUGAACUACAAUUCAAAAUUUUGUUAUAGCAGCAUCAAUGGCAUCGAGGAAGUGUCAAAACCAUCAUAUACGUCAUGCACUAGAUGAUGUAACUUUAUAUCAAUCUCAAAUAUGUAUAAGGAUGAAAGACAAAAAAGAUUCAAAAUGCAUCUAUAAGAUACUAUAUAGAAGAUAUUAACUUGAACUAAAAAAUUAAGAAAAAAAUUAUAAAUCUUUUUAUUUUAAAAAGCAUGUGGACAAAAAUUACUUAAGCAGUAAAAAUAUUUUUUAUGAAAAUUUCUGAAUUUUUUAUUUUUAUUUUUUUUUCAAAAUUCAGAGCAACUGAUAAAAGGAUGACGUCCUUAUAUUAUGAAGUUUCUCCCUUCGCGUGAAGCUUUUUCACUUGUGCUACAAGUUGUAGCAAUUGAUUCUUAUUUUUUUACUUCCAUUUCCAUUUCAAGCAAUUAAAUUUUUUAUACUUUCAUUUCCUUUGAAACUAUCCAUCUUCUACACAAAACCAGACAAAGCCCUGCCAUUAUCUUCUCUCUUCCUUUCGCCUUCAGCUUAUCUAAUUGACCAUUCUCCAUCAAACUCUCUGCACAAACAAACUUCUCCAUCAAACUCUCUGCCCAAACAACACAUGAAAAUAGAAGGAGAUAGUGAAAUUUUAUCUUCUCUCUUCCUUUCGCCUUCAGCUUAUCAAAUUGACCAUUCUCCAUCGAACUCUCUGCACAAACAAACUUCUCCAUCAAACUCUCUGCCCAAACAACACAUGAAAAUAGAAUUUCAUUUGUGUUGUUUGGGCAGAGAGCUUUCCACUUGCUUUCUAUGUUUAUGUUUAUUUUAAAAUUUCAUUGUCUCCUUCUAUUUCCAUUUCAAGUUAUUAAAUUUUUUAUACUUUCAUUUCCUUUGAAACUAUCCAUCUUCCACACAAAACCAGACAAAGCCCUGCCAUUAUCUUCUCUCUUCCUUUCGCCUUCAGCUUAUCUAAUUGACCAUUCUCCAUCAAACUCUCUGCACAAAUAAAUUUCUCCAUCUCACUCUCUGCACAAACAAACUUCUCCAUCAAACUCUCUGCCCAAACAACACAUGAAGUUUGUUUUUUUUUUUGGAGGAUAAGCAGUACCAGAGGAGCUUAAGGCCAUUCCAGUUAGAAUAUGCAGAAUCAUACUAUAUAAAUGAUGGUCAUGAACAUUUAUAUACAGCAAAACUGGAGGUGGUUACAGGAAGAGACCAAAAUACGGGCGAGGAAAUUGUAGAAAAUGUUGGGACGGGAAGGUUUACUUUAAAUGGAAGCCCUUGUGAUGUCGUCCUAAGUAUAUACGGAAAGGUUUGUUUUCGUUGGUGGUCAGCUCCUGAUGUAUGAUGUAUGUCUGUUUCCUGUAUGUUUGGCUGUAUCUUAUUAAGACUACAGUCACGAUCUAUUGCAACAAAUAUUGACUAAAAUGAAUCGAGAACAUGAAAUAACAACUAUAAUGUCACGGUAUAAUUGGAAGACUUCCAUUUUUUUUUUUUUUUUUUGAAUCAAUUUUCUGCUGGAUUUUAUUGGAGAAACCCAAAUAUAUGUCCAAAACACAGACAAAACAAACUUAACAAAAUAGAAAAAACAAAGCCCCAAUGCACAAGGCCCAAAAAGGAAAAAUAACAGAACCCGAACAGACGAGGCCUAAUCCAGCAAAAACAAAAGGAGUAUGCUCUGAAGUUCUAAAGACAUAAAUGAUUAAACACUUUCCUAUAAAUGCUCCCAACCUUUCAUCUGCUCUUCUUUCCUCCCUUCGAUUCUCCGGCUUCCGGCAUUCAUCUCCAACGCUCAUUGGCCUAGUUUACAGAGAUCCUCCUCCGAUCCUUCUCCACCAAUCCUCAUGUCCCACUGUUCCCCUUUUUUAAGUCCUUCUGUGGCCAACAUAUGUGCUACUCUGUUGAAUUUUAGCACAAAGGUCUCGAGUUUUUUCACAAAUUAAGGUAGUCAUCCAACUAAAUUUUUAAAUUGGAGUUGAUCUCUAAAAAUGGGGUUAUUUUGUACAUUGUGGAUUCCAUACCAGAUAAAAACAUUCACAAAGGUAUUUCAUCAACAAAAAUGCACCAAGGGACCCUUUCUCUUCACUUCUUCACAAGAGUCACCAUAUUGGUAUCGUUUGCAUUUACAUUUACAUUGAUUUCAUUGUUAAUGGGACUGGUGACAAUCACAAUCUAGGCAAUCACUGUGAUGCCAUCAUCUAAUGCUGCUUUUUGUAUGGACUUCGGCUACGUGUUUGAAGUAACAUAGGGAGGUAACAAUAAUUUAAAGAAGAAGGUCGACAGAGAAUAAAAAGCAAUGUCAUGGGCGAUGGUUUCGGCUUCCGGGGUUGAAUAGGAGCCUUACCAAAGGCGUUCUUCAGGACCUUGAACUCGGAUUUUCCAGACCCAUUUUCCCGUCUUGUUUUUCCUUCAACGGCGCUGCUUUCACUGGUACUAAUUAACCCUUCCCCAAAAAGAAUCAUUAAUUCGCAAGUUGAAGAAAGACAAAGUGAAUGGUCAUUAAUUAAUAUAAAAGGGGGUUAAGGCAAAUCAUUAAUUCAUAGGUUGAAGAAAGACAAAGUAAACGGUAUUUAAUUAAUAUAGAAAGGAGGUUAAGACGAACAUGAAGAUUGGAAGGGGAAAUAAAAAUGAACAGGCCAGGUAACAAAAGAGAAGUGGACGGUGUCUUCUACAGUUGUUUUGCAAGGAGGAUGAUACAUGGAAAAAUCAAAGUACAAUUCAUCCGUAAUGAGUGUUCUAUUUUACAAAAGAUAAUGAUACAUGGAAAAAUCAAAGUACAAUUCAUCCGUAAUGAGUGUUAUAAAAUGGCUUUUCUGUGUUUAAUAAAUUGAAAUUGACGAGGAAAAAAUGGAUCGGAGAGGAAAAGUAUCCUACAAUUGUCAAGGUGAUAAGGUAUUUUCAGAUUAUAAAAUACCUUAAGUUAGAUAAUAGCUCAAGGUUUCUUCUUCGAUACAAGCUGACGGAUCAAAUUGAAUUACUUAAUACAAACCUGAGGUAAAUUAUUUAAUUCAAACCAUAAUCUUAGUUGACUAGAAUGCAAUAGUUAAAUAACUUAAAUUAUUUAAUUUCAUGAAAACAUAAAAAAUAAAAUUUAAGACAAUUUCCCCGUACAACAAAUCAUGUAAAAGGUGCUCUAAAUAUUAUUCCCUAUAAAAUUUAGGACCCCAACCAACAGGUGUCGGUACCAUUUAAGAGGCAAUAAUUAUAUUUCAUUCAAGCUCUCUCCAAUCAGAACAUAAAAUAGGCUAGAAUACAUGAUUUUUUCAUAUAUGUAUAUAUGCAAAUAAAAGUUUGAACAAGUCAUUUUUCAUCUAUUUUGUAUCGGGUACAAUCUUUUUAGAGUAAUUGAAACAGUCAUAUUUUCAAAUUAUACUGGGAUAAAUAAGAACCUAAAAUAAUCCAAACAUAUAAUCAAAUUAAGGCUCCACUAAUUUUAAACGCGGAACGAUAUUCAUUGACUGGAGUUCCUGAAAAAUGACAUGAAAUGGGACAGAUGUUAGGUAACAGGGGGAAAAAAGCAAUGAAUGCAUAAGAAAAGAAAAAUAGUACAGAAGCCAAAAAAAGACAAUGGAACUGAAAAGUAUUCUUAUUAAAUGUGACAUGACUCUCCUAUAUCUCCUUUAACAUGUUUUGAUUCAGAAACCAAAUUGAAUGACAACCAAUAUCUGUAUUUGUAUCAUUGUUGGACAUAACUAAUACAACCCUUCAACAAGCAAACCAAAGUACAAAAGACCAUGAAAAAAACAUUCAAAGAGUUGAACGUACCCGUAUCUGACUUAAUCAAACUCCAAGUAACAUAGAUGAAAUGCAUGCCUUUCGACUACAUGUGUUCAGGAGUGGUACUAACAAGUGCCAUAUGCAUCGACAAGCAUUAUAGAACAAAGACGCUCAAUAAACAAAUGCCCUUUGAUUUCAGUAAGCAUUCUACUUUUUUUUAAGAAAAAAAACCCCAUAUUUUAUUUGAGUAGGUCAGAGUGCGGCGUGAUACUUUCAAACAUGUCAUUUGUAUAACAAAAAUGUUUGCCAAAGUCUACCUGGAUUAAAAGCUUGCAUGCGUAUGGUAGUUUCAUGCUAGAAACAUUUUCUCCAAUUUUACAUGAAGAACAAAACCCAAUUUUCAGCUUAUGGCUGUAGUAUCCUAUCAAACCACAUUUUCGGCAAACCUGUGUCAAAAGAUGGUUAUUAUGAGAUUGAAGCUGAUUCCAAUCGAGCAGUAAAAGUGUAAAAAGAAAGCACCAUAACAAAGAUAUUACAUCCGAACCAUUACAAAGUACAAAUUUACAUAAGGUGAAACUCAACCCGGACCCUCACCCUUUCGCAGCUGUGCCAAGGCCUCAUGGGCCCCAUCACCGGAAAAUUAUAGAUAAAAAAUAUUCAAGCGUAAUAAUUAAAUCAAUGUCAAGAAAUAUGAAAAUAACAGCUAUUUGUGAACUACAACGAUUAAUAUGAGCAACAUCAACGAGAAUUUUACUCUGGGUUUUCCAGACUAGAAAAAGCAAGAGACUUUUGCAACCUCUGGUCUUAAGAGACUAGAUAGAAUUCAAGUACGCACAAAGGCAAACUUUUGAGUAGUUAUAUCCGGAAGUGGUUUGAUGCUGGAUUUAACUUCUUAAGUGAAUUACGUGUGGAAAAUAUUACAAUAUAUGCUAAGUACCUUAAGCAUUAUUUUUGCUGCUAUUUCUCAAUCAGUAAAACAUAACAUUCCAAUCCAAUGCUCCAUAAUUCAAAACAAAUCAUGAACAGCGCAUGCACGUAGAAUCCAAUAACAUAAUUCACAUCCACCAAAACCAUAAUCAAAUACCUGGACAUCAUAUGGAUCGCUGGAUAACAUCAUUCGCUCAUAAAUCAACAUACUGGCACCAUAAGCAAUUAGACAAUCACGCUCCAUUUCUCCUACUCGCAACCCUGUGGAGAAAACAUACACUAGCCCACAGUUAUUAGAACAUUUAAUACUUCUUAAGGUAAAAUUCAUGAAAGAAUAUCAUCUAUCUGUGAGAAAAAUAACCUCCUUUUCGAGUUCUCCCUUCUGUAGGCUGUCUAGUUAACAUAACUCGAGGCCCAUUACCUCUGGCACGCAUUUUAUCAAGAACCUAAUGGGCAUAUCGCAUUUAGAAAGGAAAAUAUGCAAGUAUUAGACAACCAUCAGGUAAGCUAGAUAAAUAUGAAAUGCCACGCAUACUGAGCCUCAAUAUCACAUUAACAUGUCAAAGUAACAUUGCAGAACAAAAAUAUUCUCGUGAGGCACUAUUAACAGCAAGGUACUUUACUUGCCUAACAAAGACGUUAAAUACAAGAACAGAAAAUGAAUGAUGAUAUCUGAUAAGAGAGACAAUGAACAGGCUAUUUUUAAAGAACAGAACUAUAGUCACUGCUAUUUGAAAUGGUAUUCAAACAUAGCCACCUAGCGUGGUAUAAAUUGGUAUUCAGCUUAAUGGGGAGAAAGUAAAUGCGGGAGGAAUUAUAGUUGUUCCAUGGCUUCAGUUCUAUGAUAGACACAGCAUUAGCAAUCCAUAAAAGUCUUUCCUCAGAAAUUAAUGAAAAGGUUAAAAUCUAACCAUAUGCUUUAACUUCUGGUAGUAAAUUGGUCCCAUAAAAAUAUAAGCUUGUAAUGGAAAACCCGUAAUACCUGAAGCAAGUUUGCACAGAUAUUAGGAUGAAAUUGUAUUAACAACCUAUAUUAAUAUAAUGAAAAACUGGAACAGAGAAAUAAUAAGUUUCCAGCAUCUCAAUGAAUAAUCCAAGAUCACAAGUCAAUCCGGGAAGGUGAAACAAAAAGUAAUACAGAAUCAACGUAACGGUAAAGUUUACACUUUCUUCUUAUGUUACUCCAACUUUUUAAUGCUCUUGAAGCAUCUGGCUCUGACACGCAUGUUGGACACAUAUCCGGACAUGGGUAUUAAGUAAACCGGUUCAUGAGUUAAGCUAUCUGCCCAAACCCUAAGGCCCACACAAAAUUUGAGAGGGUUAUAGCAAAAAUAUUUGACCUAAAAAAUGGGCUUGGACAAAAAAAAGCCUAUUUAAAAUGUGGGCUGGGCUAAGACCUGAACAUCUAAGGCCCUAAACCCAGCCCAGCCCAUGAACAGCUUUAGCACCGAGAUAUGAUCCCCCAAGGACCCUCCAGAAACAAGAACAUUUUAGAAAUAGUUGGAACAUACACAUCUAGGACACAUCUCAUGCCCGACACUCACAAACGGGUCUGAGUAAUAGCUUUAUUCUGCUUCCUAUCAGAUUAUGACAUUAAGAUCAUUUCUACUCCAUUCUUUUAAGUUCAGUGGCAAAAAUCCUCAGGAAUUGGUCAUUUCUGAUUCUACUAAGAUUUGGAAGUACAUAUCAGUGACUAAAUAUUUCACAUCAAGGACCUAAAAAACUAGGUUUCUUCAAUGAUAUUGACUGCAGAUCAUCUUCCUGAAACAUCACAAAACAUAAGAAAAGCAGUACCACUAUUCUAGAAAUAAUUUUGUGCGCUACAAUCGCAAGGGAAUUCAAAUUCUUUGAAGGCAAGGCCUGCUUUUAGAAAACAUAGUUGCAUUUUUUAGGCCCCACUCUCUAAUCUUCAGUUUCAAUUCUAGAUUCUGUUUUACUCUUCUGUGUAUAUCAUCCAUAAUCAUAUAAGCAAUUAGGCAUUAAUAUCGGCAAGCAAUCAUAAAUUUAGACAUUCAUAUUGUACCACAACUUAUUGUCAGUUUGUCAAUGAUACCGCAACAGAUGAGUCCACAUCACUGAAGACGAGGUGCCAAUAGAGAUAGCUCUCAAUUUUAUUCUCUAACCAACCAUUUGAACUAUUUGUGACUUCUUAAAAAAAUUGGUUUGAAACUCUAGUUCUUGUCUCCUUGUUAUAAUCAAAGCGUAGACAUAUUCACAAUGCAUCAUUUGAAAUAGGAAGUUAGUAAUCUUGACACCUGCAGUAGGCUCCAAGUUUCAAGAAAAGGGGAGAGGAGGAAGGAUAGUAAACUGCAAAACCUGAAUAAAUGAAGUCCUUGCCAUUGUAACAGAAACCGUGCUUGAUGAGGGUUUCACUGAAAAAGUUAGAGAGGAUAUGAUAAAUUUGCUAUGCUUGCAAUGAUACACUAGAGGAGGGUUUAGGAAAGGAAGGUAGAAAGUAACCUUAUAGUUUCAACCUUAUCCGCAUGACCACUAGGCUCCCCGAAAGCACUACCAUAGUGGAACCUACCACAUGAAACUCCAGCUUUGCCUCCAAGAAGCUCUAUCAUCUUGCCUACAGUCAUUCGACUAACAAAAAAAAAAAAAUCAUAAAUAUGAGUCAAGCAACAAGUUGAAAGCUUACUGUGCUAGCAACUUAAUACCAUAAAUAAAUAUAAUUUAGUAGCUAACAGAAUAAGAAGCUUAUGAUGUGCUGGCAGCAUAUACAGUUUAGAGAAACAUGUAGAUUGGAUUUAAAUAUGUUUUGACUUGGAUAAUCUAUCAGUAAGGGAUUAAAAGUUGUCAAUUAGGGAUUUGGAGAUAGUUUAGGAGAUUAGAUUUCUUUGUUUUGUGAAGUUAUAAUAAAAAGAUCCCUAGAAUCAAGGAUCUCUAUCAAUUAAGGGAAUUUCAUACCGUAUUCAAUGGUAUGCUUUCCCGUUGAUUGCCCUUGGAAUUAUUGGUGUUUCUAAUUUCAACAUUUCUGUUUAGGCAUCUUAAUUGGACAUGUAGAUUGAUGCUAUAUGUUACUUGCAUAACCAUUUGGAAGGUACAGCCCACAAAUGAAGCUUGAUUUAUGGAAAUGACUGACUAGCCUCUUUUCUUUUUCCUUUUACCAAGGUGGGGAGAGAAAAUCAUGCUUAAAUCGACCCAUGGUGUUAUUUAGUUGUUCAUGCAUAAGAACAUGUCUCAAUGAGAAAAGAAAGUGACAGAAUCACAGAAAUGGUUGUUCAUGGAUAAUGCAACAGAAAUAUUUGUAAGAGAACGCUUUCUCAGGUGUUUACCAGACCAAGAAACUGUCUUUUAUAGCCAACAGGAGCUACAGAAAGACCGUAGAGGUAAAUGCCUGAGAUUCUAGACAUUCGGAUCAUAACAUUUUUUAACUAAAAUAUAAGAUAUUACCUUGGAAAACCAUGAGGAUUCAUAAUUAAAUCGGGGCAAAUGCCACGCUCUGAGAAGGGGAGAUCUUCCUGCUGAAUGAUAAUGCCGCAGACACCUUUCUGGCCAUGUCUGCUACUAAAUUUGUCACCAAGCUGAGCGAAUACAUAGCAAAAGAGCAACAAAAAGGAAACAAAGUCAACCCUGGUUUUCCAAGGAAAAAUAUUAGAUAAUGAAGCCAAAUCAAUAUUGCCUACUUCAGGUCGACGUGUGUGGCGUAUUAAAAAUUUUAUUGAUAAAUUUCCAUUCUGAUCAGAGCUAAGAGCAACUCUAUCCAGUACACAAGACUCUCCUUCAGGACCUUUAUACAGUUGCUUUGCAGGUCUACAAGCACUGCAAAUUGAAAAUUGGUAAGAAAUUUUUCACAACAACAAAAGAACAACAACAGAACCGGCCAGAAAUUAAACUAACCUAUCCAUUAGAGGUUCUGAAGAUAUUGGAAUCCCUCUUGUAUGAAUAGAGACCUUAUUAAGAAGGAUGUCAUUUGGUCUAAUAAUCUCCCCAGGAGCAGCAAUUCCAUCAUCAUCUAAUAUCUACACAAAGAACUUCACAAUUGAAAUUUGAUGGAAAUCACAAAAAGGAUCUAUUUUUAUAUGUAAAGGAAUCCACUUGAGGCAGACAGAAGCGGCUUUAGGAAGAUAUUACGAGAUAGCAGAUAUAUUUUCACAAUUGGAAAUUAAAACUGAUUGAGCCAUUAAUAUUGCCUUUGCUAUCUUUGGACAUGCAAAAUGUUUUUUUAACAACUUAAUCUAAAGGGGAACAACGUCAAAAAUCAAAGACAAUUGUGCACCAUUUACCAGUUGCCGACUGAGCAGAAAAAACUUUUCUUCAAAGGCAUUUUCAUGUAGAUGUUAUUGAGCUAGUUAAGGAUCCUCCGUAUUCAUGGAAAAAUUCAGAAAAACUGAACAUAACUGUGCCAAACACAUCCAUAUCCAACAGUUACAACUGAGUCAAAGUAACUUAGCUACAAAGUAUGCAACUUUAAGCUGUUUUGUGAGCCAAAAAUCAAGACAUGAUACAGUACUAGACUCCUAAAAAUGUUUUCUACAACUACAGAAAGUAUAUAACUUCCUCCGUCAACUACCAGUAGACCCCUUCAAUAAGAAAAUAAAAAUUUUAGAGGGUUCUAUUACAAAAGCUAUCCCUUUUAAUGAAAAGGCUCCAAGUGUAUAUGUUUUAAAAAUGCCAUCUUUUGAUAGGAGGAAUUUUACAACAAACAGAAUCCUAGACUGCUAUGGCUCAACUUUGGAAGGGGGCAUACGUUAACUUUAAGUGACUGAGUGACUGCUGCAUAAGACAAUUGAUGGACUCCUGAUGACAAAUUCUUAGGCUUACAGUUAAGAAUUUUUCAUUUUUUUUAGUCACUUUGUAUAUUUAUAUAUAUAUAUGACUUUGGAAUUUGAUCAAAUAUGAUAUACAAGAUUACAAUUUCAAAAUUCUUCAGUUACAAAUAUAUAUAUUGAUAUAAUAGUAAUGGUGAGUAAUUAAAAGAAGUAUGUAAUUUCAUCAAAUAAAAAAUGCUUAAAAAACCAGUAAUUUGACAAUGCAAGAAUUUAAUCAUGCAGUCAGGAAUAAAGUAAGGCAUUGCCUGCAUCCUCUCGGAACCAGGUCCGGUUCUCUGUGGCCUAAGAAUACUGUCGGAUGCACCAGUUCGAGAUUUCUGAAUAAUGUUAGAAUACCUGCUCAACAUAGAAUGUGGAAGAGAACAUGUGAUUGCUAAGCCAUGAAAGAUUAGAAUGUUCUAUCAGAAUAUUACAAAUGUGAAAAAGUUGCAUACUUUUUCAUCACAUUACAACGCCCAAAACCACGGUCUAGAGAAGCCUUGUUCAUGACAAUAGCAUCCUCUAUGUCAUAACCACUGCAACUCAUGACUGCAACAGUUGCAUUCUGACCAGCUCCAAGCUUAUCAUAUCCAACCUGAAAGCAAAGGCAGCAAAUUUACGGGACAAAAUGUUGUGAUCAUGCUCUACAAUAUACAGACUACUAACCAGUUCAAUUGUCCUUGUUGUCACUAAAGGCCUCUGAGGAUACACCAAUAUAUUAAGUAAUGUGUCCAUCCGACAUAACUACAGCACAAAAGAGACUGCCUCAGCAAAGAAAGAAUAUUUUGAUAAAAGUACAAGGACAAAGUUCCAUGAUGGAAAUCCUGUAGAAAUUUAAGAAGAUAGAAACUGACAAAAAAAACGUAAACAUAAAUACUUAAGGCAAAUGCCCUCUGCCUCAAAUACUUAAGGCAAAUGCCCAUCUCUAGUUUAAGAUAGAUAUUUCACAGAAAACAUGAGUCAUCUUUCAGAUUUUAUGUGUGUGUGAGCAUAUAACUUGCACAAAGUGAUAUCAGAUUAUUUAAUCAUUUUAAGGUAAGCAUAAUAUAUAACUUGAAGAGUGAUAUCAGACUAAUGAAAACUUCAUAAAUUUUAUCUUGAAUUCAAGCAACUGUAUUUUGUGAAAUACAAGGACUCUUUGCUCAAAAGCAGGGAAAAAAAAUAUCAACAGAAUAGCAAAUAAUACUGCUUGCCUGGUUAUAUGCAAUAUUUCCCAUUGCUUGCUUCCCCAUUGCACACUACAAAUACAGAAGAAAAAUUUGGAGAUGAUAAGAGCAAAAAUUACCGUUCACGGUUAUGUCAUGUUCAAGAUAUCAGAAAGUGAUGUAAAAAACCUAAUAGGUAUUUCUUGGUGACUGAUUAUGAUGAGGAUACGGAAUCAACCCAGCAUUAACACCUAAGAUUGUGAAAGGCUCUAUCUCAAUAUGAGUAGUUUCAGGUGUAACCUCUCCUUCAUACAAAGCAAUCUAAAAACAGAGAAUCAUGUUUCCAAAAGUCAAAUAUAUAAAUUGUAACAACUGAAUUAAAAACCUUUAAAACAUCAGGGGAAACAAACCAAAGCAUUGUUCUCCUCGUUGACAUCAAGAUACUCAACUAAUCCAUCACCUAAAAAGUCAUUAAAAGUACGGACUCCAUCCUUGAUAAGCACAAAAUUUAGAAUUAGUUUUCAACCAAGAUUAUUCUCUUUGGAUAAAAUAGGAAGCAUAACUCUUACCAGCAACUCCUUCAUAUGGUGUUCUUUGAUCCUCGAUAUUCCCUUGUCAACUAUUACCAAUGGUCGACAAACUCGACCUCCAUCGGAAGAAAUAUACACACACCUCUGAUCAACAAUUUCAAAUCUCAAGAAUCAGUAAAUAUUUAAAAUAAAAGCUGGAACGAUGAAAACUACCAGUCAUACCUGCAGCCUAGUCCAAUUUUAAAAAAAGAUCAUAGAAAAAAAAUAUAACCACAUAUGGAGACAGGAACACCACAAUUUAAAAGGGAUUAGAUUAGACCAUGGACACAGUGGGAUUUAGCUUUAAUAUAUGUGAGUUCAUGCGUGCAUAUGCAUGUAUACAUCAUGUAACUAUGUGGCGAAGCUGGCAUUUGAAAAAGAAAUCAUCCACAAUUCUUUUUCUUCUCCAUCUUAAAGCUAGUUUUUGAGCAUAUACCCCACAGCUUCUCUGUAAAGAAUCCCAUCGCAUAAUUACUGAGAUAAACUGAUUUAUCUUCUACACUUUCUACUGUAUAGUUGUUAUUUAUUCAACUUCCCAUGAUAGGUGAGGAUUUAAACAUCUAUUCACAGGCCAUUUAUUUUAAAUUCCUGAAAUUACCCUCUAAAAUAUAAGUUUUGAAAAUUAUAAACUACACAGACAUGAGACAUACACAUGGGUAACAACAAUGCCAUGUAAUAGAAAUGAUAUGGCAACCCAAAUUUUAAUACAGAAGCUUCUACCAGGGACGAUAUUAAAGCAAGAAAGAGAUCAACCAGACUUGUUACACUGAAGAUUCACAAAAGAACUGCAGCUUAAAGGAUUCUCUUGAACCCACCAUUAAAUCACCUUUUGCAUGGAUACAGAGUUACAGAUGGGGAACUAUCCCACAAACAAAAAUGCAACAAUCACUCAUACGAGAUCUUACAAGAAGUAGAUGAUAAAGAACAUAAUAAAUUGUCAAAACUACCUAAGAGCCAUUUCUUUGAAAAAACAAGCUAACUACAAGAUCAACAUUGGGCUUGACUCCUGUCUAUUACUUUCUGGAUCAGCAACCAGUACAGCCCACAAAAACAGAUGAGUGCAUUAAUUAUUGUUAGAUCAAAAAGCAAAAGAGAGGACAGCAAAACAAAUAACCGAUCUUUAUAAACUAGAAAACAUAACGGUUUUUAUUCCAAACAUGAGCUAAAAUCAUAAUUCUUCUGCUUAAGACUACCUAGAUGCAUUUGAAAGUUGAUCUUGGCCUUAGUUUGUAUAUUAGGUGAUUAAGACUACAGAAAGCAUAGUUAUGCAAACUGAAGGAAAAAUUAUACAAUGACACACAAAAUAGUUAAAUAGCUUUUAAGUGGAAGAAAAUUUUACCUGCUUUUCAUUUACGAAGACGCUCACAAACUCACCAAUUUUGCCAGCUCUUCGCAGCUUUCUCAGAGCAUUAGCAAAAUGCUACAUAGAGGGGAGAGACAUUAUUAGACUGGUGGAACAAAGUUACUAAAUAUAUGCAUAAAUUUUACAAAACAAGUAUGCACGUCUAGGAAUUGAAGAACGAUCAGGAAGUUCCAAAUCCUUUUAUUUCAGAGUAUAAAAUAAUUGCUAAAACACUAAAAGAAAAUGUUAUUCAUAUCAAGAAGUGGUUUAAACAAAAUAGAGAAGGUUUUAGAAUGCUAUGCAAUCAAAGGAUACCUUCCAACCUGAAAAAAAGAUGCUAUAUAAUGACAUAAUACCAAGUUUUUUGUCCUAACAAAUCAGGGCAAUGAACAUGCUAUCAUACAUUUAGAGGACUUAGAUGAGUAUGUUAAUUUUUUUUUUUUUAAGUUUUUCCAUAUAUUUAGAGGAUUCUUGGAGGUGCAUAUCCACAUACAAAUUUCUAAAUAGCCUUGGAAACAGGUGACAAACACAAACACAUUAAGAAAAUGAAGAAUCGGAGCAACAAAGGACUAGUUGAUGCUGCAAUAGAGAAUGAUUUUGAAGUAGAGCAUUAUUAAAAAGUGAUAUCAAAAUAUUUGAAAAAACGAAGACUUCUUUCUCAUCGUUCAAAAAUUCUUACUAUAAGUUCGUAACAGCUUCUUUUUUCACUUAACUCUUGUCAAAAACCUAAGCUCUGGGGAUUUAAAAGCUUAAUUUCUGCUAUUACAAAUGGCAAAGGCUGUUUGGCAGAUCUCUAAAGCAGAGGAAAACCCCAGAGUUUCAUACAAACAGGAAUUAUAUCCUUAUUAACUUAGGAAGGUACUAGUUGGGAAAAAAAAUCUGUAAGAAAGAUCAUCAACACAUAGUCGCAUCUACGCACUAGUACACAACAGUGAUUUAAUGCAAGCAGAUACAACUAUAAAGGUAGCAAGGAAAAAUUUGUUAUCUCAAAAUUUUUCUGAAGGGCAUAGCUUUAAAUCAAGCACAAAAAGAAGCAUUACAUAGGUAACAGACAGCUAUAGAUUUAGAUUAAAGUUGAUGAGCUGACUUUGGAUAUUAAUAUAUAAAUUUUUACUGAUAUAAACUUCUUAGCACCAUCUUCUUCAUUUUUUUUUCUUUUUCCUUCUUUAGGGAGUAUGGCCUUAAACCUAGCAUCAAAGAGAAAAACCAUCUGUCCAAGAGUCUAAACCAGUUUCAAAUUAUAUUUCAGUUGAAUUGAGAGACUUUCAUAUGUGUAUAUCAAUGUUUUAGGCAUCAAAGCAACACCAAAAGCACCUGUGGCCUUCUAUGUUUGCCAAGAAUCAGCCCAUUUAACAUAACCAGGAAUGAAUUUGGCGUAUGAAGCUCUUCUCCUGAUAGUAGCUCCAUGUCUUCAACCCCCAAGCAAUAGCACUACAAUAGAAACAAUACAAUGAAUUUAAAAUGUGAACAUAGGCAGGAUAAUAAUAUCACUAGGCAAUAGAUAAGGACUAAGCCAUUGGAUGCGUCAGUUAGAACUGAGAUGCAAAAUAACUAUCUUCCUCGAGUCUUGUUUCUAAAUUUAGUUACAAACAAGUUGAAGUAAUGACUGAAAUAUCUAACCAAAUAUAAUGCCUUAAGUUAUUGAAAUAAUUGAUUAAAUUUUAAUAUCUUCAUUGAUUAUAAUAAUAAAACCAAAUCAAAUGAAUAAAUAAUCUUUAGAUUGUAAAUAAAAUGCCAACAAGAAUUCUGACAAUUUUUCUGAUCGUAGAACAAAAAUGACAGAUUCAAUAGCAAUAUAAUAGCCAUGAAUUAACCUUGUAUGAAAAAUAUUAUGAUAUUUUCUUCUUAUUUGAUCCUAUCAAUUAAAUAAUUACAAUAAUAAAACAAAUGUGUGAAAUAACAUAUUAGUUAUUACUAAUUUUAACUACAAUCAAUCUUGAUACCCAAUUAACCUUGUAUGAAAAAUAUUAUGAUAUUUUCUUCUUAUUUGAUCCUAUCAAUUAAAUAAUUACAAUAAUAAAACAAAUGUGUGAAAUAACAUAUUAGUUAUUACUAAUUUUAACUACAAUCAAUCUUGAUACCCACUACUUUAUUCUUUUGAAGUUAAUUUAAUUCUUCUUCUUUUUUUCUUUAUUCUUUGUACUAUUCUUGACCUUACAGUUCAUCCUCUCCAAAUUAGGUUUUCUUUUCUUUUCUUUUCUUUUCUUUUCUUUUCUUUUUUAAUUCCAAAUUGGUCAUCCACAGCACUUGUCACUGUCUCCUUCCACUGUCAACAAUCAAAUCAUUACUACGCUUUUCUUUCCUUUCAAUUUUAACUUAGAUAUAAAACUCUAAGCCUUUCAAACUCGGAGCAUACCUUAGUUGGUUCAUGCAAUCACCUUAAGAGAUGGCAUCUGAGAAAGUCUGGUGUUUAUAUCCCAGUAUUUGGAAACCCUUCCCCAAUCCCCAAGAUAGGACCUUCUUUGUACCAAGAAAAGAUAUCCAAGCACUACUCUUGAAUUUCUUUCCUAUUUUAUGAUCAAAUCCCUCCUUAUACGUAUUAACUUCAUAAGCAGGUUAAAAAAGUCGAAAAUAUACAUCAAUUGUUUUUUGGUUCUUUUCUCAUAGUAAAUAUUCAACAUGCUAGAGCUCCAUCCCAUAGUAUUUUUUUUUCCGUCAAAGUAUUUCAAGCUAUAUAUAUUACUCCUCGGAAAGAAAAGUUUUCUUUAUAUCAAAUUGCUUUAAGCUACACAGAUAUUUUUCUAGUUUGAUUAGAAAUUACUUGAUGUGAUGAAACCACGGACCAAGUAACCAACCCGAAAUAAGAAACAUAGAAGCUUGAAGUGGUUAGAGUUGACAAGGUACUAGAAUCUGAACCAUACUGAAAACAUCCCUAGCAUUUGAUAUGGUAGUAUCGUGUUGCUCAACGGAUUUCCCAUAGCAAAUAAGAACUUCUAUAUUUUAGGACCAAAGACUUGUCUGAUAUCAACAGGAAAUAUCUCCUCGCUAAUUACUUUAGAAUGAUGUUAUUCCUAUGACAACGACUUCACAGACGGUGAUAUUAAAAGCAUAAUUAUGAAUAGUACUUCAAAAAGAAGAGAGAUUAAUUGUCCUGAUAGCUCGAGAUGCUUGUUCCCCAUAUAAUCCUACAAAACAAAGGAAAACCAUUUAAAUGGCCAGCACAAGUAAGCUUACGUAUAUUAAAAUAUUCAUCAACUUUCAUGUUUCCACAAGCUCCUUGAACUCAGGAACAGCUAGGAUCUAUGACACACUGCAACUGAUUUGCCUUGGAAAGACAAACAUGGAAAAAAGACAAUAAGCAGCGCAGUUAUCUGAAGGAUGAGCCAAUUCCUUGAGAUAAAAAUCAUAAAUCAAUGUGCAAUGCAACCCUUCAUACAAAACACUUUUAUCUUAAGGGUAUCUGGCUUUCUCUUUGCUUGGAGGUGACCUUGGUUAGACUAGAAAAUUGUUAUAAAGCAAUUUGACCGGGAAGACUAAAGAUAACACGGUAGCAACUUUGAGAAGUAAAAGUAAAGUUGAGAGUAUAUCUUUGGAGUUCUAAAUGAGUAGAUUGAAAGACUGCAAAGUAAAUAAUACCUUGUCAUCCAUUGCAUGCUUAUUUAAUGUUGCCUCCAUCAUCCUUCUCAGCAUAACCGCAACAUACAAGCAUUUUGGACGCAAAUUAUUGCAACGCACCUAAAUGAAGGGGGAAAUAUGAAAAACAAUUGUCGAUGUCAAAAUGCUGCCAUUGAAUUUUGAAAACUAAAACAAAACCUACUGGAACAUUGGCAAGAAAGAUAUCUCGAAGGAUCAAAAAAGCUCCCAGUUCCUACAAUAAAUAAAUAAACUAUCUCGUUAGCAUAAAUUACAAAAACAAUGCUGGCAGCAUAGUACCUUAUUUUCUUCUUUUUCAUUGGUGAAAGCUCUCAAUCACAUAUAUAUGUGCAAUAAUGCAAACACGGCUAUUUAUCCAGAGAAAGACUGGGGAGGAAGACCUGAGUUUUCUGCAAAAGAAAGCAAUCAAAUUGAAAAUUUGAAACAACCUGAAGUAAUGAAACAAAAAUGAAUAAGAUAUAUGCGUGUAUACAUAUUCGUACAAAAGCAACGAAUGUAUAGCAAAAGGAAAACCUACAAACGAAAUUAAGACUAAAAUGCAAUAGUUAUACACCAUUUCUGUUUGUAAAGCUGAUAAGACUAAAAUUAAAUAAAAUUAACAUAAAAACAUCUAAAUCACCUUCCAAUUCCGUGUAGUGCACUGAAAUCUAGAUAUUAAAAGCUAAAUUCAUAAGUUUUUUCACAAACUAACCGAAGAGUAUUGAACCUUCGUAUUAAGGUACGCCAAUGCUUGUUCUUGGGUAUAUAUGUCAAUACGUGCACAUUCCUGAAAAGGAACAAAUAAAUAAAUUAGGAAAGCGGCGCCAUGUUAAGACAAGAAUAACUCCAGAAUGGCCGAGAAUACAAUGUUUAAAAAUAUUUUAAACAGGCCUGAAGGCGCACACCAUGUUACAAAAUUGAAAUAAUAGACGCAGAUAAUUUUUAUGACGCCAAUGCUUAAAGAACAAAUCAUAAAACAGGUCACAAAAGGUAGUUGGUCAAAUUAGUUAGUGAGGUGUUCGUAUGCAAUAACCACGGCCUUAGAAGCAGUACACAUUACCAAGGUAGGAAACAUCUGAUCUAGAUAAGAGUUCAAACAGGGUUCAACGAAAUGCCAAAACUGAUAGACACAUUACAAAACAUUCAAUGACAUUGCGUAGAAAGGGAUUGAUAUGUACAAACUGCAGGUUUUAGAAUGGAUGUGCUUGUGAAAAAUUAUAAGAACACAAAAAAUAUCACCAAGGAAAUGCUAUGGAAAACGGAUGAGAUAUGAUUCAUUUCAGAAAUUUAAAUUCAGCAUAAUUACAAACGAAUGUGACUUUUUAUAGUUGAGGGUGGACUUGAGAGCUAUGUUGCUCCGACUAUUCAUUUUUCUAGAAAUACCCAUGCGCUUAACAAGACAUGGGAAUGGGGAGGUGAUCCUCAAAGGGCCCACCAAAUACAUAGAAACCUUUAAAAGAUUGAAUAUAACCAUGUCAAACACAUACCCUUGUUUGACACUCACACCCGAGUAUGAGUAACUUAGCAUGAGAAACUUUUCAAUUUCCUUGAGAAAUCGUGAGACAGCUAAAGAAUCCCACCAUUAUCCACAUAAGACCCCCAUAGCAUGCUAGCCAUUUGCAAAAGACAUUUCAGGAAGCUAUUACCGUUCUUGUAAAUAAUACAAAAUAUGAACAGGUUCAUAUCCUUAACCAUAUAGCUUACCUCUAUAGAAGGUAAAAGAAGAGCACUAUAACAAGGAUCAGCACCAACCAUUUGCAUAACCUCUUGAUCACUCUCUAUCCCCAUUGCUUUCAUGACCACCAUAAUAGGGAUCUAUGAGAAAACAAUACUGAGUCAAACUAAGGUUUAAGAGUGCAACAUGAAUAACUCUUCAGGGAAAAAAAUAAGGAAACUUAGAAGAGAAAGUAAGGUGCAACAAGACCUUUUUCACAAAUUGGUUGAGUAACAAAUAUAUCUUCUCUUUGUCCAUCUUAAUAACUGUUCGGCUUUUUAUUGUUUCCGAUAUGCUUGUUACAGAUGCCGUUAUACUGGGGGCAGAGAGCAAAAAAAAAAAAGUAAAGAGAAGAUAUUCCACGAGUAAAAUUCAAGGAUCAAGUAAAACUGACAUAAAUUAGAACAAUGCAAUGGUAGGAAAAUUGAUAGGAAUGGAAACUACUGUAACAAAAUGACAGCUAAACUAAUAUGGCUGAAGAUAUUUGUAUGAUGUAUCGAACAAGUAGAUAUGUCAAUAAAAAUAUUACAGUCCCAAGUUGACACAAUAAGUCCAUAACAAGAUUUAGCUCAUCCUAUAUGCCAAAGUGAAUGCAUAAAUACUUCAUGUUUUGCACACAUAAUAAUAAUAAUAAUAAUAAUAAUAAUAAUAAUAAUAAUAAUAAUAAUAAAAAAGCAAUAUAAAGUUUUACAUGCUAAACUUGCACUGCAUCAAUAGAAGUCACUGUUCCCUUAUUAAUCAUUCCAUGAACUUCAAAACAAAUUUCCAACAAGCAGUGAUGCUAAAUGACCAGAAGCUAGACCAAUGUUAAUUAGUUAUUGCUAAGAAAGCCUUUGAUUGUUUGUAUAAUCAUUAGUAAACAAUAAAAUAUAUGACAAAUUACACUAUGACUUUAAGAACAACAAGACGAGCAAAACUUUAACCUCCUACCUUACACACUUCUACAACCCACGAUAAAUUUUUAAAAGCGGAGUUAUAUAUGGAACCAAGGAAAUUCUAGUAAUGCACAUGAUAAGGGAGUGGAGCGGUCAAUUGUCAGCAAGACAUAAAAAUUUGAAAGACAACUCACUUUCCCUUGUUGUCUGCAUCAAUAAUUAUCCUAUUCUUGGCUAGCUGUUCACGUAUUGGAAUCACCUGAAAGCCAUUGGCAGAAUCAUAACAUUACAAUGACAAAGAAGUACCAAGAAACAAAAAAAUAUACAUAACUGAAAAACAAGAGACUGCCAAGAGAAGAGAGAAAUAAAAUGCAGUUCCAAUGAAGAAGAAUUUGAAAAGAAAAAGUAUAAAAUAAAUAUGGCAGUCAGUAUGUCUGUUUCGGACAAUUUAAACUCAUAAAGAACAUAAAAAUGUAUAUUUUUUUGCUUAAGAAUAAUUCAUAUCAUGGUUAUUGGGACAUAAAAUUUGAAAUGCAUAUUCUUCUUAUUAGAUUUUAAAGUUGCUGUCUUGUCAUCAUUGAAAUGAAAAGGUAAAAAUAAGAAAUUUCUAAGGAUGAAAAAACCAAAUGGAUUUGGCAUACAUUUAUAUAGGUGUGACUACAUGUACAUCAUCACUUCAUCUUAGCAAAAUCUUAUCUAACAAUCCACAGAGAAAAAUCAAGAACAUUUUGAUAGGUCCCGUUCAAAAUACUAGAUCACAAGAGGCAAAUCCAGAAAACAUAGAAGAACAGCGCCACUAACUUUGUUUUAAUUUUCAUCCAUUCAAUAUAUGAUUCACCAACUUCUUCACUACAAAUUUCUGGCCCAUCAUGAACAUUAUGUAUGACACUUACCGUCCAACUAAAAGCACGUUAUAGUGAAUGAGAGUGUAUAGGUGUGCAUGGAAGUGAAUAAUAAAGCAAUAGAUAUGUGAAACAUGGUCGGAAUUACCUUCUCUGCUCCAUUAAUAAUAAAAUACCCACCGGGAUCAAGAGGGCAUUCACCUGAUAUCAGAUAAUGAAAUUCAAAUAUAUAAUAACAAGAAGACAAUUAGAAAAGCAACAGCCAUUGUUUUGAGUUUAAUGAACACAAACCAAGCCUUGCAAGUUCAGCUUCGUCUUUUCCAUAUAACACACAGCGGCAACUUCUUAACAUGAUCGGCAUUCUUCCCAUAACAACAUUUUUCUGCAGGGGACAGAUUUUGUAUUACAUCCAAAGCACCUACCAUUCUGCAUCAAUCGUCAUACACACAUCAAAGAAGCAUCUCGUGUACCUUUUCUAGUCUAGUUCUCUGCCCAUGACUCUCUUGCAUGUACUCUAUGUCGGCGAAUAUCGGUGCAGCAUACCUUAAAAAUUAACAACAUAUUAAUAAGACAAAACAGAAAAUAUGUAUAACUCACUAUUCCAUAUAAAGUUUUAGUUGUUAAAACACCAAAAAGAAUCAAUUCCACUAAUGCCUAUAUGAAAUAGUUCAACCUGGAAAAUUAUACAUGUAUUUAGAGAAAUCAUUUGUACAUACGUCAUAUCUGCGAGGCGGCAUGUAUGGGGAUUUAUUUUUUCAUAAGUCGUCAUGGAGGGAUUACCAAUUCUAACAUCAUUAAACCUGCACAGCAACACAAGAUACAGUUGAAUUAGAGCAUAGAAAGAAAAUCCAAAUUCAAAUCAGACCACUUGCUGUUUUCUCCAUAAAAAAUGUUACUAAAAAGAAAAUUCCUCAUAUUUGGUUACAACUGAGCAAAUAGUUAAGCAAUAACACAUCCGAAAUUAACUAUUAUGUACAAAAAUUAAAUGUAGCACGUGAUCAUUCCAAAAGAACCUUUCUUUUGUUUUUGGUUUUUUUUGAAGUGUAACAAUAACAAUACAAUGAAAGUAGGAAUACAAGUCUGAAUAAUCACAAGUAUCAAACUACUGCAUACGGACUGUCUAAGUAAUCACAAUACAGAAUAAACCAUUGCAUCACAAAUAGACUAAAAAUCGAUACAAUCCAAACUAAAGCCAACAAACUCACUGACUAAGACCUAUGCAACCAUCCAGACGAGACUUGGAGACCUACACAUAUAAUUACACAUUGUAGGUCUCAAACUUGAAUGCAUAAGACCCAAUGCCUUCGUCUUUGUUUAAAAAAAAUAUUACAUUUUGCUUCACACACACAAUACACACAAAAACAAAAUAACAACAAGAGCCGACAUCGGCAAGUUGGCAAAAUAUAUUUUAUAGAAAUCAUAACCAAAAACAUAAACAAAAAUACUUUCAAACCUGAGGUAAAUAGCGGGGUCAAUAUGGGAUACAAUCCGGUCGUUGGCACUAACAACCUUCUUGAUUCCAGUAUUAACAAAAUAAUUAAAUGAAUCGAAGUGCUGCUUCACUAACCCUCUAACCUAUAGUAAGAAAAAAAAAGCCCAAAUUUCAUAAUUCAGUUAAAUAAUAUAAACACUUUCACAUAAAAUAUAUGCCAAAUUAACAUCAAAUCACCUUUAAAAACUCAGGGAGAAUCUGAAACUUGUCAACAACCGAUUUUAUUGGAGCAGCAAGCUUUUGCUUGUCCACUGGUAUCUCAGACACGUAUAAGCUAUAGGUGUUUCCCAAGAAACAAAAGACAAAUUAAUCCAAAUCAAAUUAUAUUUCGUUAAAUAAUUCAGAUAUGAAAGGAAAAACUUACUUAUUGGUGUUGUUAUUGAGAAAUAUAUCUUCUUGCUUGAGUCUCAUUGUAGUUAAAUUGUUGUGGUUUUUUGGAAUUUGAUUUUUUUUUUUAGCAGAACUACACUGAACCUACUCUGCAGGGUUUGUUUUUAGAACACUAAAACCCUAAAGCUGUCGAUUUGUGGAUGGUGAACUCCUUUUCCUUAGAGAAAAAAUCAACAAUCACAUUAAAUUACUCAUUAAAUAUGCACGAAUAUAUUCAUACUUGGAUCAAUAUGAAUCUGUUUAUAAAGAAAAUAAGGAAUUUUGGAUUUAACAGUGAAACUAUUUGUGAAUUAAUUACGUUUAUUACAAUAAUAUAAAAAUCAAAUCUUCAAUAUUUGAUUCCAUCAUAUACUUUCUUGUAAAUUUGGAGCUCUUUUUAUAGGAAAUCAACUAUUUUAUCGUCAUCUCCAUUAUGGAUGUUUUUCACUUUGUUAAGAAAAUUAUAAUAUCAAAAUAAAAUAUUUAUAAUUUAAAAGAGUUAAAAAAAUUACAAUUUUUUAACAAUUUUUAUACCACAAAACUUUUUUUUUUUUUAAACAUAGGAUCGUCUCCAAUUUUUUAUUUAAGUUUAAUGGAUCACCUAUUUUUUUAACAAAAUUUAAAAUCAAUUAAAAUGUAUAACCAACAUCACAUUGACAAACACCCGAUAAAAACACUAAAUAAUAAUCUAAUAAUUAUUUUAAAAUGUAAUAUUUAUGCCUGUUGUUUCUAAAAAAAAUUAAGAAAAUAUAAAUAUUUUUGUUUUAGAAAUAUGUUUUCAAAAAUUACUUAAAUAGCUAAAAUGUUAUUUUCUGAAUUUCUGAAAUUUUUAUUUGUUUUCAUUUUCAAAUUUCUGAGCACUUUAAUGACAUUGAAUUGACUCCUAUUUCAAUCUUCAUUUUUGGUAACAGAAAAUACUAGGGCAGUGUUCGGUAAGGUUCAAAACUCAAAAGUAGUAUCAAAGAAAUUGACUAUUUGGAAAAAGAAAUAUCCUGCAAGAGAGCCCGACAUAUUUCAUAUUUGACGCAGAGUACAAUUUUGAGAUGGUACAAGUCCUUGUAUUUUUUGUUAAUUUGAAAUUUAAUCAUUGCAAUUUUAUUUUUAUAAAUUUAGUCCUUUUACAUUUUAGAUUUUAAAUUUCAAGUCAAUUUGUUAAUAUUGUGAAAAUAUCUUUUUAAAUUCAGGUUCAUUACAAUAUUAUUUUUCAAUUACAUGACUAUCAAGUGAGUGUUUAUUUUAUUCCAAAAUGUCAUACCAACAAGUUAAUGAAAUAUAUUUAACGAUAACCUGAAUUUUGAAAUCUAAAAAGUAAAUAUAUUAAAUUCUUAAAAAUAAAAGCACAAAAUUAAAUUUCAAAUUUAUGAAGAGUACAAAGAUGGUAAAAGCACCAUGGAGUCCCCUAUACAAUGAGUCGGAUUACAUUUUACCCCCUCUACUCAAAAAAUGGACAAAUUAAUCCCUACAUGUUAGAUCAAAAAGCAAUUUGGUUAUCCUAUUAAAAACUUAUAUCAAUUUUUACUAUUAAAAAUUGACCCUUGUGCAUAAAUAUUAGAUACACAUGGCUUGUUAUAUGUCACCGCUUUGUUUUUUCGUCAAUCAUACUAAUUUUUAACAUUACAAAAGGAAGAAAUUUUUAAUGGAAAGAAUCAAUUUACUCUUUAAUUUAAGUAUUUUUAAAUAAAUCAAUCAAAAACAUUAAUUACUCUUAAUACAAACAUCACCAGAAAACUUUUACGCGAUUUUGAUUUGUUACUUUGUAAAAUUUGUGGUCUAUUAUUUUCACUUCUCCCACAGCACCUUUUUCCCAAUUCUUUUAUAUGCAAAACGGGUGGUCCAUUCACUUUUUUUUUUGUUAUUCUGUUUUUGAGGAAAAAUCCAUUUACUUCUUUUAUACCUAAAUAUAACAUUCAAUUAUGUUAGUUGGGAAGAUUUGGGAGCUUUCAUAAUUAAUAAUUAAUUAGUGAAAAUAUUUAUUAUGACUUUACUAAAAAAUAAAAAUAUUUUUUUAGUAAAAAAUAACCGCCUAAAGCGAUUACAAAAAAAAUAUACCUCUUAAGAAUUAUGAAAGCUCCUUUUAUUAAUUUAAUAGAAGUUUUUGGACUAAAAUUGGAGGCUCUUCAAAAACGACUAAAUUUGGAGGACCAGGUAUACGAAAAGCAUAUUUACGGUAGACCCAUAUCCCACUUUCAUGUUCUAAAUGCAGACAAACAAAUGCAUUUAAAGCUACCAUCCAAAACAAUUCUUAUAUUAUCAUAUCAAGGGGUGUAGCCCAAGUUUAGCCAUGGCGUACAUCAACCACAUCAUAAUUCAAAGGAACCUAUAAAUAUAUCCCUACUGCCUGGUGUCAUCCAAAUGUAAAUAGUGUAAAAUAAGAAAGCUUUGAAAAUGGCUAAAUUCAACUGCCACCAUAUCAUAUUUCAUAUCCCUUGCUUUCAUAUGGGGUUGCACAGUUCAGUCUUUAGGCUUUAUCUAUGCCAUAAAGUUUCAACUCUCUUCUUUUUUAUGCUCUCCACUUAACAAUGUCUAUAGGUCUCUUAACUGUUUCAAUUUCUUUCUUUGCAAGUAAAGGAAAUCCGAUCCAGUAAAAAAGCUUCUCUCGAAUGGGAUGCCAUCACCGUACCAAAAAUUUAAAGCAUUUAAUCUCAGUUUGACUGCAUUGGAGGUGCAAGUUUCGGACACGGAAAAGGAAGAAAAUCACACACUGGUUUAUCUAUUUGUUUCACCCGAGGUACAUCCCAUGUGAGGCAAAAAACUGAAAAUCUGGGUGGUAUACCUGAAGCAGUUUUAGCCAGUUUUCCGUGGCUUGCAUAAG